UACGUAGGGGGCAAGCGCUGUCCGGAAUCAUUGGGCGUAAAGAGCGUGUAGGCGGCCCGGUAAGUCCGCUGUGAAAGUCCAGGGCUCAACCCUGGAAUGCCGGUGGAAACUGUCGGGCUAGAGUCCGGAAGAGGCGAGUGGAAUUCCUGGUGUAGCGGUGAAAUGCGCAGAUAUCAGGAGGAACACCAAUGGCGAAGGCAGCUCGCUGGGACGGUACUGACGCUGAGACGCGAAAGCGUGGGGAGCAAACAGG
RNAcentral lists this ribosomal RNA (253 nucleotides) under uncultured bacterium. Its description in RNAcentral is "partial 16S ribosomal RNA". It matches the Rfam family "Bacterial small subunit ribosomal RNA", at positions 524 to 776 of the family's 1533-position model. The record is from RNAcentral.